Dicentrarchus labrax (European seabass) is the source of this 878-nucleotide long non-coding RNA. RefSeq lists it as uncharacterized. The record is from RefSeq and is a predicted model, not a curated record. NCBI's taxonomy places the organism in Eukaryota, Metazoa, Chordata, Actinopteri, Moronidae. The transcript is spliced from 3 exons.
AUCAUCACAGUGGCAACAGGUGACUGGCCAUCGUACAGUUGCUCCAUGAGUCACAGACGACACCCAAAAGUCACCAGGAGACGCUGCAUAACCUCAUCAGGUCAUCAAGACAAGAUCUGGGAUCAAUAUAAAGAAACAGAAGAUGUUGUUGUGUGGACAAACACAGUGGUUGUCAUCGUUAUGAGGCUGCUUCUCAUGAAGAUCAUCGUCUUCAAUGUUCUGAUGACCACUUACAUUGUUAUUAAGUGGUAAGAGACUUAAAUGCCAUCAGUGUAGCAUAAACCACAGAAACAUACAAACAUAAGGCAAAUGUGCAUGAGCAUGACUAAAUGUGUUUUUGAUCACCUUCAUGUUUAAUAUGUUUAAUCUAGCAUAAGAUUUGAAUGUAUUUUUUCAGAUGUUUGCAAAUGAAAGCCUUCUGAUGCACCGUGUGACCUUGAAAAGAAAACCAACCCAGAGAGGGGAACUGUUUCUUGUCUGAAGUCUGCGCAGUGAGGAUUUCUGCACUGGAAGAAGCUGAGCAUAGUCCGCCUUUGUGGUUGGCUUUAUGAUACUGGUACUGUGAGCUUUGCGUUGGAAUCUCAUGAAUUUACUGGGAAAUUAUCCACUGUCAGGAUCACAGGAGUAGCGGGUCUCAAAUGCUCCAAAUCAUUUGUCGCGCCUCUUUCAGCCUCUUUCUCAGUGACAUCCCAGGUGUUGCUGACUGUGGCAGUUGGUGUUUGUGAGGCCAAACCUGGUAUCUGAUCGAAACCUAACCUCAGACAGAUGGGUUAGUGCACAUACUGUUAUAUAUGUGUUUGUGAGAAGAUCUGUGUGUAUUCUUACUCAUCUUUUCAUUUCAUAUAUAUCUUGAAUUACUAAAAAGAUUGUAGGGAAAA